Molecule: unclassified non-coding RNA, 374 nt
Filed under: uncultured Ascomycota
Lineage: Eukaryota; Fungi; Ascomycota
Description: sequence contains ITS1
Rfam family: 5.8S ribosomal RNA (bases 1-105)
Source: RNAcentral
GAAAUGCGAUAAGUAGUGUGAAUUGCAGAAUUCAGUGAAUCAUCGAAUCUUUGAACGCACAUUGCGCCUCCUGGUAUUCCGGGAGGCAUGCCUGUCCGAGCGCCAUGCAAAAACAUAAACCUUGCCCAGUGAUUUUCUUUGGGUCUAGGUUUGCUUUUGAGGGAUGAGCCUUGCAUCUAGCUUCGCUCCCCCUCGAAUUUCAGAGGCGAACUGAAAUGAAAUCUCACCGCGGGUUGGGGCAGUAGUAAUGGAAUUGUAAAUUUCUCGCCUCGCCCAUCCCGCGCUAACGUUAUCAUGACACUUCGGCCGAUCAAACCCCCCCUUUUACUUCUGUUUUUGACCUCGGAUCAGGUAGGGAUACCCGCUGAACUUAA